This 1487-nucleotide ribosomal RNA is filed under the name uncultured prokaryote. RNAcentral's name for it is "partial 16S ribosomal RNA". It matches the Rfam family "Bacterial small subunit ribosomal RNA". The record is from RNAcentral.
AGAGUUUGAUCCUGGCUCAGAUUGAACGCUGGCGGCAUGCCUAACACAUGCAAGUCGAACGAUGAUUAAGAGCUUGCUCUUAUGAUUAGUGGCGGACGGGUGAGUAACGUAUAGGGAUCUGCCUAUUAGUGGGGGACAACAUUCGGAAACGGAUGCUAAUACCGCAUACGCCCUACGGAGGAAAGCGGAGGACCUUUGGGCCUCACACUCUAGGAUGAGCCUAUGUCAGAUUAGCUAGUUGGUAGGGUAAAGGCCUACCAAGGCGACGAUCUGUAGCUGGUUUGAGAGAAUGAUCAGCCACACUGGGACUGAGACACGGCCCAUACUCCUACGGGAGGCAGCAGUGGGGAAUAUUGGACAAUGGGGGCAACCCUGAUCCAGCAAUGCAGCGUGUGUGAAGAAGGCCUGCGGGUUGUAAAGCACUUUCAAUUGGGAGGAAAAGCUGAGCGUUAAUAGCGUUUAGUAUUGACGUUACCAUUAGAAGAAGCACCGGCUAACUCCGUGCCAGCAGCCGCGGUAAUACGGGGGGUGCAAGCGUUAAUCGGAAUUACUGGGCGUAAAGCGCGCGUAGGUGGUUUGUUAAGUUGGAUGUGAAAGCCCAGGGCUCAACCUUGGAACUGCAUCCAAAACUGGCAGACUAGAGUACAGCAGAGGAUAGUGGAAUUUCAGGUGUAGCGGUGAAAUGCGUAGAUAUCUGAAGGAACAUCAGUGGCGAAGGCGACUGUCUGGGCUGAUACUGACACUGAGGUGCGAAAGCGUGGGGAGCAAACGGGAUUAGAUACCCUGGUAGUCCACGCCGUAAACGAUGUCUACUAGCCGUUGGGGAACUUGAUUCCUUAGUGGCGCAGCUAACGCACUAAGUAGACCGCCUGGGGAGUACGGCCGCAAGGUUAAAACUCAAAUGAAUUGACGGGGGCCCGCACAAGCGGUGGAGCAUGUGGUUUAAUUCGAUUCAACGCGAAGAACCUUACCAGGUCUUGACAUCCAGAGAACUUACUAGAGAUAGUUUGGUGCCUUCGGGAACUCUGUGACAGGUGCUGCAUGGCUGUCGUCAGCUCGUGUUGUGAAAUGUUGGGUUAAGUCCCGUAACGAUCGCAACCCCUGUGGUUAGUUACCAGCACGUAAUGGUGGGGACUCUAGCCAGACUGCCUACGCAAGUAGUGAGGAAGGUGGGGACGACGUCAAGUCAUCAUGGCCCUUACGUCCAGGGCUGCACACGUGCUACAAUGGCAAGAACAAUGGGUCGCCACCCGGCAACGGGGCGCAAAUCCACAAAACCAAUCUCAGUUCGGAUUGGAGUCUGCAACUCGACUCCAUGAAGUUGGAAUCGCUAGUAAUCGCGUAUCAGCAACGACGCGGUGAAUACGUUCCCGGGCCUUGUACACACCGCCCGUCAAGCGAUGGAAGUCAGGAGUACCUGAUGUCGCCCCUUCAAGGGGUGCCUAGGGUAAGCCUGGUAACUGGCGCUAAGUCGUAACAAGGUAACC